Molecule: microRNA precursor, 100 nt
Filed under: Mustela putorius furo (domestic ferret)
Lineage: Eukaryota; Metazoa; Chordata; Mammalia; Carnivora; Mustelidae
Description: miRNA (ENSMPUG00000022572.1)
Rfam family: mir-1302 microRNA precursor family (bases 38-89)
Source: RNAcentral
CAGUUAAAUCUGAAUUUCAGCGAAAUAACCAAAAGCUAUCUUAGUGUAAGUAUAUCCCAUGCAGUAUUUGGGACAUACUUAUACUAAAAUAGUUGGUUGU